RNAcentral lists this long non-coding RNA (531 nucleotides) under Pan troglodytes (chimpanzee). RNAcentral describes it as "long non-coding RNA NONPTRT012610". The record is from RNAcentral. Lineage: Eukaryota; Metazoa; Chordata; Mammalia; Primates; Hominidae.
AUUUGUCAUGCUCCUUCCAUUUUAAAGUUGCUUAGUACCCCCUCUCUUUCUUCCAGGUAAAAUAUGCAUUUGUAAAGGUAGAAGAGAUAUGAGUAUUAUUACAUCGUUAUAUACAUUCUCUAAUAUAAGAUAGGAUAUUUCAAUUUUAUUGCAGUAAAUUUAUGGCAAUAAAUUUACAUUUAUAUCUUUUAUUUACAUUAUAUCCUUUGCAUAAAAUCAGUAUUAGCUAGGGCUGCAUAGCAAAAUAACAAAGACUGGAUGGCUUAAGCAACAGAAAUUUAUUUUCUCAUAGUUCUGGAGGAAAGAAAUCCAAGAUCACGGUGCUAGCAGGGUUGGAUUCUUCUGAGGCCUCUUUCACUUGCAGAUGAUCAACCUUUUGCUGUGUCCGCAUGAGGCCUUUUUUUCUAUACAUUUUAGGGUCUGUGGUAUUUUUAGAUUAUUUAGUAUUUUCUAUGCAUAUACACAAGUCAUCUGUAAAUAAAUAUAGUUUUAUUUGUUUCCAAUCUGAUUUUUUUAUUUAUUGCAGUGGCU